UUUCGAAUCAUUCACAAUGGGCGAAAGCCUGAUGGUGCGACGCCGCGUGAGGGAUGAAGGUCUUCGGAUUGUAAACCUCUGUCACUGGGGAAGAAACGUUAAACCCUAAUACGGUUUAGCCUGACUUAACCCGGAGAGGAAGCAGUGGCUAACUCUGUGCCAGCAGCCGCGGUAAUACAGAGACUGCAAGCGUUAUUCGGAUUCACUGGGCGUAAAGGGUGCGCAGGCGGCCAAGUGUGUCAGAUGUGAAAUCCCGGGGCUCAACCCCGGAACUGCGUCUGAAACUAUUUGGCUAGAGCAUUGGAGAGGGAAGUGGAAUUCACGGUGUAGCAGUGAAAUGCGUAGAUAUCGUGAGGAACACCAGAGGCGAAGGCGACUUCCUGGACAAUUGCUGACGCUC
This 400-nucleotide ribosomal RNA is filed under the name uncultured bacterium. RNAcentral describes it as "bacterial SSU rRNA". It matches the Rfam family "Bacterial small subunit ribosomal RNA", at positions 355 to 748 of the family's 1533-position model. The record is from RNAcentral.